UACGUAGGGUGCGAGCGUUGUCCGGAAUUAUUGGGCGUAAAGAGCUCGUAGGCGGUUUGUUGUGUCUAUCGUGAAAACCUGCGGCUUAACUGUGGGCUUGCGGUGGAUACGGGCAGACUUGAGUUCGGUAGGGGAGACUGGAAUUCCUGGUGUAGCGGUGAAAUGCGCAGAUAUCAGGAGGAACACCGGUGGCGAAGGCGGGUCUCUGGGCCGAUACUGACGCUGAGGAGCGAAAGCGUGGGGAGCGAACAGG
Molecule: ribosomal RNA, 253 nt
Filed under: uncultured bacterium
Lineage: Bacteria
Description: partial 16S ribosomal RNA
Rfam family: Bacterial small subunit ribosomal RNA
Source: RNAcentral